GCCCUGCCAGUCCCAAGCCUCUGCCAUUUACCUCUACUGAUUUUACUGCCAAGUUCAGCUCUCUGAAAAGAGAAUAACCAGCCAUGAGCAACAUGUUCUUUUUCUGCAGACUGACAGGGCUGUGCUUUAAUCUCCUCUUGUGUCUCAUAACAGAAGCUUUUAUUACGGUUUUUGCUGACUGUCAGACUAUUCUAAGCCACCGCUCACUAUCCAGUGAGGGGGAGAAGACUUUAGAAUUAUUUACAUUUAGUUGACAAGAAGGAUGUUGAAAAUGAAACGUACAUAUGGAGUCACUGGAAGGAGCAGUGGUCCUGUGAGCAGUGACCUCAGGUCUGAGUAUUGGAGAAGGACUUCCAUUAAGACAGUGUGAAGAAGCUGAUACGUUAUUCCAGUCAAAUCAUGGGAAAAAACAUCAGACAAAUCUCAGUUGAAGGACAUUUUGCAAAAGAGCUGAUCAGUAACUUGAAAAUGUCAGAGAUCAAAAGUAAGAAAAGCCUAAGAAAUUGUUAAACCAAGAGGCUCAAAGGAGACAGGACUACUAAAUGUAGAUAUCUUGAAUGGGACC
Acinonyx jubatus (cheetah) is the source of this 565-nucleotide long non-coding RNA. RefSeq lists it as uncharacterized. NCBI's taxonomy places the organism in Eukaryota, Metazoa, Chordata, Mammalia, Carnivora, Felidae. The transcript has 3 exons. The record is from RefSeq and is a predicted model, not a curated record.